Molecule: ribosomal RNA, 804 nt
Filed under: Triticum aestivum (bread wheat)
Lineage: Eukaryota; Viridiplantae; Streptophyta; Magnoliopsida; Poales; Poaceae
Description: partial small subunit ribosomal RNA
Source: RNAcentral
AUGACAGAAGCAGAGUUGUUUCGAAUGCCAUCAUCACUACGAAGGCUAUUCGCGACAAUCUUGGUUUUCUGCGAACCCAGUGACGUACGUGGCCUAUGGAACAAAUACCUUGAUGCAAUGUCAGAAGACUACAGCAGAAACUGUAAAUGCAAGCACACAAUCGAACAGAUGGUGCUGAGAAAUAUCAGGGACAUGUUGCACUCAAUGGGAAAAGACAUAGAAUCAUUUCCUCUUCCAGAGAUCGACAAACGACAUGAGACGACCGACGACAUACCUAGGGAGAUCGUUGAGGAGACCUCCAUCGAGGUUGACCCUGAGGACGUAUCGUUGCAUAAAAACCUAAACAUCGAGCAGAGGAAGGCCUACGACGAAAUCCUAGCCACGGUUGACCGCCAAAGAGGAGGUAUAUUCUUUGUCGAUGGGCCGGGAGGCACAGGAAAAACUUUUCUUUAUAGGGCGCUCUUGGCCACAAUACGCGAACAAGGCAAGAUUGCCGUGGCAACGACCACUUCCGGUGUUGCCGCUUCCAUAAUGCCCGGAGGGAGGACCGCACACUCGAGGUUCAAGAUUCCACUAAAAAUAGAUGAUGGAGCUAUUUGUAGCUUCACAAAACAGAGUGGGACAGCAAAGCUACUCCAAGCAGCAUCACUAAUAAUCUGGGAUGAAGCAUCUAUGACAAAGAGACAGACAGUGGAGGCGCUAGACAAAAGCAUGCGGGACAUAAUGGAUAGACUAGAUCUUCCAUUUGGUGGAAAAACGAUCGUAUUUGGGGAAGAUUUUAGACAAUUGCUACCUAUUGUCUGA